AUUUUUUUGGUUUUUUUGAAUGUU
RNAcentral lists this small RNA (24 nucleotides) under Arabidopsis thaliana (thale cress). Its description in RNAcentral is "ATSL133900". The record is from RNAcentral. Lineage: Eukaryota; Viridiplantae; Streptophyta; Magnoliopsida; Brassicales; Brassicaceae.